UGCUUCAGACUGAUCAAGAAUUGUAAGGCGUAUUGUACCCUGGAAGGGCCAAGGGAGGUGGCUGUCAUAUUCUCCUUGCAUUGUGUGGACAAAAAGGGAUAUAUAGUUUGCACAGCGCUGAGCAGUCGGUAACUGAAGGUGCAAGCGCAUGCACAGUUUGUACCCGGGUUUGCCAGUGUAGAAUCCAGGGCUAUGAAUCACAACAGGUUUCUCCUCUUCUUGACAUUUCAAAUGCAUUCCAAAGUUGCCAAUCUUCCAAAUAUAAAUUCCAUUGCACUGCUGUGCUUCGAUUUCAGCAACUUUGUCCUCAAGGGUUCGAAUGGUUCGUUUGAGCUCACUUACAUACAUACUCUGAGUUUCCAUUUUAGCAGUCAGCUCCCGGAUUUGAUGGUCUUGUCUUACAAGGCGACCCUCUAACUGGUGAAUAGUUUCCUGGAAA
This 439-nucleotide long non-coding RNA is filed under the name Homo sapiens (human). RNAcentral's name for it is "HSALNT0174174". The record is from RNAcentral. Lineage: Eukaryota; Metazoa; Chordata; Mammalia; Primates; Hominidae.